Molecule: RNA transcript, 3502 nt
Organism: Hemicordylus capensis (graceful crag lizard)
Lineage: Eukaryota; Metazoa; Chordata; Lepidosauria; Squamata; Cordylidae
Exons: 2
Source: RefSeq, a predicted model, not a curated record
CGUGGGGACUGCCCUUUAGCACCCCCUACGGACCAUACGGGUGGUUCCCAGGGCCAGUUAACUGGGCAUCUCCACACGCCACCUGUAAUCAGGUCUGGCAAGCGGGGAGCGCUGCUUUGCCCACCCAGGGGCCAACGGCGCAGUUCAGCUCUGCUUGGCAUACUGGGGAUGGGCCCGUACCCUUGGGGGACCACCUCCUUCCAGCAGUUAAGGAACGGAUUUGGAAAGGAGAGUGCAUUGACGUGUUCCAAUUGCUCUUCAAGGAGCCGGAGCCACUGGAGAAGGAGGGGUCCCAGGAGCCACUGGAGAAGGAGGGGUCCCAGGGGAAGGACAAGGAGAGGACAAAGCGGAAGCCCAUUGAGCAUAAUUGGGCAAAUUGGGUUUCGGGGUACACAAUCUACAUGGGUGUUCUGAUGCAGAAAUAUCCAGAGCGGGGCCCCGCUCUCGUUAAGUAUUUUGAUAUUAUACACAGAGCCUUCAUGGACUUUGCUGGUAAUGCCUGGGAGCGCUACGACCAAGCGUUCCGCGAGCGCGCCUCCAGCAAUGUGGGUAUAUCCUGGGAAAGGCAGCACCCCGAGUUAUGGCUUCAGAUUAUGACACCCGCGAGGCCCUUGGUUGGCGAGCGCGCUGACAGCGGGCACCUCAUUUCCAAAACACCGGCAGCGUCAGCGGCUUCGGCCUCAGGCGCACAGGGGGUUCAGGGUCCCCUGGUGUGCUGGGAAUUUAACAAGAACGGGAAGUGUGCCCGCUCCCCGUGCAAGUACCGGCAUGACUGUGGCUUCUGCGGUGGGCGGCACGCCAGUAUCUACUGCCAGCGGGCCAAAGCCCUUAGGGGAAAAGGGGGAUACCAAGGCCCGGGAGGGGCAAAGGGCCCAGCAGCCACGGCUGGAAAAGGGCCCCAGCCCAAUUAAAAUCCCGGUGCUCCGGAGGCUGCUGCGUGACUACCCCAACAGGGAGCGCGCACGCUAUAUUGAGGACGGUUUUGUGAAGGGGUUUAGGAUUCCGUGCCAAUCCAGGCGGGUCCAUAGUUUUGCACGCAACCUAAAAUCGGUUAGGGGGAUGGAACACAUAGUAGCGAAAAAGAUAGCCAAGGAGGUGUCUCUGGGGAGGGUGCUGGGCCCCUUUGACAGGCUGCCACUGCCAACAUUGCGGGUAUCCCCUUUGGGCGUGGUCCCUAAGAAGGCGCCGGGAGAGUAUAGGCUUAUCCACCACCUGUCCUACCCAAGGGGCGACUCGGUUAACGAUGGGAUACCGGCGGACCUUUGCUCAGUACGGUAUACAUCGUUUGAUGAGGCUGUGGCCAUGAUCAGGGGCUGCGGGCCUCGGGCACUGAUGGCGAAGUGCGACAUUGAAUCCGCCUUCCGCCUCCUGCCCGUGCACCCUGAUGACUUUGACCUUUUGGGCUUCGCAUUUAAAGGGGGAUUUUACAUCGACAGAGCCCUCCCCAUGGGAUGCUCGGUCUCCUGUGCGGCCUUUGAGGCUUUCAGCUCUAUGCUGGAAUGGGCACUGCGCCGGAGGGCGGGGCUACGCUCCUCCGCUCACUUUUUAGAUGACUUUAUUUUCGGAGGAAGGGAGGGCUCUGGCCAAUGCCUACACUUACUGCGCUCAUUCAGGGCACUCUGCGGGGAUCUGGGGGUGCCACUGGCUAAGGACAAGACAGAGGGCCCGACUACGAAGCUUACAUUUCUGGGGAUAGAGCUGGACACGGUGGGACAGCUCUCACGCCUCCCCGGGGACAAGCUCGGCAUCAUGAGGGAAUUGCUCAGGGAAUGCAGAGAGGCUAGGAAGGUAACGCUACGCAAAUUGCAAUCGCUGGUUGGCCACCUGAACUUCGCUUGCAGGGUGGUGGCUCCAGGCCGCCCCUUUCUAAGGCGCCUGUGUGACGCCAUGGUGGGGUGUAAUCGACCCCAUUUCCUCAUUAGGGUGUCUACCGCCAUGAGGGAGGAUAUGGGGCUCUGGCUCAGGUUCCUGUAGUCCUUUAAUGGGGUGUCAUUCUGGCGUUCUUCCCAGCUGCUCGAGGCCGACUUCCAGGUUCAGUCAGACGCCGCGGGCGGCCUUGGGUUCGGCCUGUACCUGAGAGGGCGCUGGUGCGCGGAACGAUGGCCGGGCAGCUGGUCGGAACGGGGAAUCACAAGGGAUCUCACCUUCCUCGAACUCUUCCCCAUUGUGGUGGCGGUGCACAUUUGGGCCGAGUCCUUCAAGGACUCGGUUGUGCGUUUCUGGUGCGAUAAUUUGGCCGUGGUUCAGAUUAUUAAUAGCCAGACUUCCAAAUCACAGAGGGUGAUGGGGCUGGUGCGGGCCCUGGUUCUAACAUGCCUUCGCCAUAACACGCUCUUCACCGCCCAGCAUGUUCCAGGGGUGCAGAACGAGGUGGCAGAUGCCCUGUCUCGCUUCCAGAUGCAGCGCUUCCGGAAGCUGGCACCUGGAGCCGCCAAGGAGCCCGAGCAGGGCCUCAGUCGGCUGGGCCGAGGGCGGCCGGGCAGCGCGCAAGAGUCCUCAUACUGGGCCAUUCCUUCAUUUUCUGGGCACGCAAGUGGGCGCAGAGCGCCGACCCUGGAACCCAGCUUGGUUUGGGGCGUUGGGCCACUGUGGAGUGGCUUGGCUGGCGGGGCAUGCGGAGGGCCCAGUUCCUGCCGAUGCUGCACGAGUUCCUGGAAGGGAAUCCUGUCCCGGAUGUCCUGCUGCUGCAUUUUGGAGGCAACGACCUGGUGGACCAGUCUGGCAUUUCGCUCUCAAGACAGAUUGCCCAGGACCUGGUGGUCGCCCUCUCCUGGUGCCCGGGGCUGGUGGUCAUCUGGUCUGACAUCACUCAGCGGCGAGUCUGGAGGGGGGCGGUGAAGCAGAACAAGGUAGAUAGGGCUAGGCGCGGGGUGAACGCGGCCAUGGCACGCUUCAUCGCCUCAAAGGGGGGUGGGUGCAUCCCACACAACGACAUCGCGUUCUCGCUCCCCCAGUUAUUCAGGGGUGAUGGGGUGCACUUGUCCCCCCUCGGUAUGAGGUAUUUCUUAGACGAUCUGCGGCUGGGGUUGGCAACAGUGCUGUUAGGCCUGUGGGGUGGCGGGGCGUCAAGCUAGGCUGACGCCCGCUGUGGCGGGCACAGUGCGGAGGUGAGCGGCUGAUGCGGUGCGGCACCUUAGGUAAGCUUUAGCUGUAAGGUGGAGGGGCAGAUCCCUUGAGGCUUUACAGAUCAGGGAUGCUGCCUUGCUCCCACCUCCCUGCAACCGACACCCUUCCGUAUGGCUUUACAGCGUCGGACAGGUGAUGUAAAUUGCAGGGUCCUGACCUUAGGUCGGCAACGAAGGGCGCCCCCUUCUGGAAGGUGGGCCGCCUGGAGCCGAGGUGUCUGUGCCAUGAGAUUCUAGGGCGGGGGUGGCCACGUGGUGCCCCCCCCAUCCGAGCCCGCACUGUUGCUGCUCUGAAUGCCAACCCCAGCUGCCGUGCCUGUGCAGGCACUGUCUUAAAACCUUGUACCCCUAAUAAAGUGACCAGUUCCUCCAUAAUA